UCACUCCCAGAAUGGCAAAAAGAUAGAUGAAGAUGGAGAAAUGUGCACCUAACAAUGCAUCUUUAUGAGCAAAGGAUUUUCUUUGGAAAAACUGUGAUUAUAUGAAAAUCAUAGGACAUUUUAUUUGUGAUUACAGGGCGUGGUGAAAACCUCUGCUAUCAUACUGGAUACAAGGUCUUUAACUUCUCAGCACCAGUUUUAUGGAGCCCCCACCGCUAAGCAAGUGUGCAAAAUGCAGUGCUGCUUCGCAUUGGGAAAUCCCCAAUCUGGUGCCAAGAGGUUCAUAAAUACAGUAAUGGACCCUCUUAUGUCAAAAGUGAGUACUGUUUAACAGCGUAAGUUGGAACAGCCUUCAGGAUGCUUUGCAGCUGCAGUUGUUCCACUGCAAGACAUCAAAAACUUCAUGAUGAUGGUUGUCACACCAGGUCCUAGAAAGGCAACCUACUUCAGUCUGCAAAGUGAACUAAAAGGGAAUGGUUGUUCAUACAUGGCCCUGAUGCCACUGACAUAAGAAACGCAAUGACAAGAGCGAUGAAGUAGGAAUUUGGUGGCAGAUGGUCAGGUCUGCAGGAAGUGUCCACCCAGCUUUGUUUGGCCCAUAUUCUGAAACAACUAGAAUAAACACUUAGUGUCAUAAUUUAUAAGCAUAUCAGUACCAAUAAAUCAGAAUCAUGCAAACA
Molecule: non-coding RNA, 680 nt
Filed under: Pan troglodytes (chimpanzee)
Lineage: Eukaryota; Metazoa; Chordata; Mammalia; Primates; Hominidae
Source: RNAcentral